GAUGAAGAACGUAGCGAAAUGCAAUAAGUAGUGUGAAUUGCAGAAUUCAGUGAAUCAUCGAAUCUUUGAACGCACAUUGCGCCCCUUGGUAUUCCAUGGGGCAUGCCUGUUCGAGCGUCAUUUGUACCUUCAAGCUCUGCUUGGUGUUGGGUGUUUGUCUCGCCUCUGCGUGUAGACUCGCCUCAAAACUAUUGGCAGCCGGCGUAUUGAUUUCGGAGCGCAGUACAUCUCGCGCUUUGCACUCAUAACGACGACGUCCAAAAGUACAUUUUUACACUCUUGACCUCGGAUCAGGUAGGGAUACCCGCUGAACUUAAGCAUAUCAAUAAGCGGAGGA
RNAcentral lists this unclassified non-coding RNA (337 nucleotides) under soil metagenome. Its description in RNAcentral is "partial contains 5.8S ribosomal RNA, internal transcribed spacer 2, and large subunit ribosomal RNA". The stretch from base 1 to 120 matches the Rfam family "5.8S ribosomal RNA", at positions 35 to 154 of the family's 154-position model. The record is from RNAcentral.